RNAcentral lists this ribosomal RNA (253 nucleotides) under uncultured bacterium. RNAcentral describes it as "partial 16S ribosomal RNA". It matches the Rfam family "Bacterial small subunit ribosomal RNA", at positions 524 to 776 of the family's 1533-position model. The record is from RNAcentral.
AACGUAGGACACAAGCGUUAUCCGGAGUUACUGGGCGUAAAGCGUGUGUAGGCGGGUCGUUAAGUGUCCUGUGAAAUCCCACGGCUCAACCGUGGAACUGCUGGGUAUACUGGUUGUCUUGAGCCAGCUAGGGGCGAGCGGAACAGACGGUGGAGCGGUGAAAUGCGUAGAUAUCGUCUGGAACGCCGAAGGUGAAGACAGCUCGCUGGGGCUGCGCUGACGCUGAGACACGAAAGCCAGGGGAGCGAACGGG